AUUGAACGCUGGCGGCAUGCCUUACACAUGCAAGUCGAACGGCAGCACGGGUGCUUGCGCCUGGUGGCGAGUGGCGAACGGGUGAGUAAUACAUCGGAACAUGUCCUGUUGUGGGGGAUAGCCCGGCGAAAGCCGGAUUAAUACCGCAUACGAUCUACGGAUGACAGCGGGGGACCUUCGGGCCUCGCGCUAUAGGGUUGGCCGAUGGCUGAUUAGCUAGUUGGUGGGGUAAAGGCCUACCAAGGCGACGAUCAGUAGCUGGUCUGAGAGGACGACCAGCCACACUGGGAAUGAGACACGGCCCAGACUCCUAAGGGAGGCAGCAGUGGGGAAUUUUGGACAAUGGGCGAAAGCCUGAUCCAGCAAUGCCGCGUGUGUGAAGAAGGCCUUCGGGUUGUAAAGCACUUUUGUCCGGAAAGAAAUACUUGGCCCUAAUACGGUCGGGGGAUGACGGUACCGGAAGAAUAAGCACCGGCUAACUACGUG
This 486-nucleotide ribosomal RNA is filed under the name uncultured bacterium. RNAcentral describes it as "partial 16S ribosomal RNA". It matches the Rfam family "Bacterial small subunit ribosomal RNA", at positions 30 to 507 of the family's 1533-position model. The record is from RNAcentral.